Long non-coding RNA from Thalassophryne amazonica, 2012 nucleotides. RefSeq lists it as uncharacterized. Lineage: Eukaryota; Metazoa; Chordata; Actinopteri; Batrachoidiformes; Batrachoididae. The transcript is spliced from 3 exons. The record is from RefSeq and is a predicted model, not a curated record.
UUGCUGCAAAAUUUCAACAUUACAACAUUCAGAGAAUCAGAAAGUAUCCCAGCAUGCAGCAGGUCUCCUGACAGAGACGCCAUCUCACACCUCGACUACUGCAACACCUUGCUGACAGGUUAAACACCAUGAACAUCCAAACACAUCACACCUUCACACCACCUUUUAGUCCAAAUCUUCUGACACACUGAUGGACACUUAUUUUAUUUCUCUUGGAUUUCUUUUUAAUAGAAUGCAACGGGCCCCAGACUCUGGAUCUAUAGUUGCACCCUAAACAUUGCUGGCAUUGUAUCCGAGGGCUCUCUUCAAGAUGGUGACUGUUCCCUAAAUUGCAGACUGCACCUUGGUAACCGGGGAUUGCCUCGAGGUAUUGCUUCAGGUUUUUCUUCAUAAGGCCUGUUGCCCCACAACAACUGGUAUUAUUUCAAUGACCAUGUUGUUCGUAGGUCAUUUAAGGUUUUGAUAUUUCCUGAUUUCUUUUCUCCCCCUUUCUGCCCUAUUCAGGCCAUAGUCAUUGGGGACUUGUUACAUCAAUAAUUUGGGCUGGUUUUUUUUCUUAUUCCAAAUAAUAUCAGGUUUAACUGCACCUCCUUUAAUAUGACUGUUGCACGUUUAUUGUGUCGUUUGCCAUGUUCCUGUAGACUAGCCUGUAGUUUUCUGAAAAUUGUUUAUCUGUUUUGCAUUUAUCUUCUUGUCUUUGUUCCUUAUUUGUGCAACUAAGGCUUUAAAUAAAGCUUGAUGUUCUGGCAGCCUCCCAUCCAGUUAUUUAUCACCAACAUUAUAUAUUCUUUUAAAUGAAUGCUAUUGACUUUCUUAAGGAGGAUCCUUUUAUGAUCCUGGCCUCACAUAAAUAUUGUAAUUUGGGAGAUCUCUGCUCUUUUUCCAUUGUAGGACAGUAUUCCUCUUCCAAACUGUGGUUCCUCUUCUUUCCAAAUACUCUGGGGCUAAUGUACUUAGUGGAAAAAAAAAACCUGUUGGUUUAGCAGUAUUGCUAGUGUUAUAGAUUUGUUGUGUUUUUGUAGCUCAAGUAGUCUGUCUGGUGAAGAUGAGUAAUCUUGUUACCGUGAAUAAAAGGUGCCUUGCUUUUGAUGGAUUUAUUUACAAAAAGGCCUGAAAGUUCAGCUAAAAUUUACCAGAAGGUACAUCUGAAAUGCAAGCCUAGAUUUAAUGUUUUGGUGAAACUUUGGAAGCCGGAUCAAAUCAAAACUCUAUACAAAAAUAGCUGACUUUAGAAGAAAAAUGUUUGCGAAAGGAAUUUGGAGUUGAAUAAGAAAAAGGUUUUAAUUUGAAAAAUCGAAAAAGGAAGUUAAAUGCGCCUGCGCGUUUAACUUAACAAAAGUUGCAAAAGUUAUCUGUCCAUAAGGAAAAGUAAUUUCUUGCUGGCACGACCAAACAAGAAUUAAGUCUUAAGUAGCACGUAGCUUUUAAACAAAGAGUCGUAAAUCUUUGACGGCUAGGCCGCAUCUUCAGACUCCAAAAAAGAAAGAAGUAGAAGAGGAGAAGGUGAGAGAGGGGACGGCAAGAGUGCAAGAGAGCGAUUUCCCGGGGCACAGGCUCUUUUAAAGGUUUGAGAGCGCUGUGCAGAGAGAAAACAUUGACGAAUGAGCCAACGAAUUCCCAUCACCGAAUAUCCUACGAAUCAUGAGCACAAAAAGAACGAAGGAUAAACGAGACAAGACGUUAACGCUUUGAACGACAGCAGAAACCGAAGCUUCGAUGCUUUGAAUGACAGCUAAAAACAGCGAUCACUCAUCAGCCCGGUAGGUGGCGGUAAAUGGUACUGUCUGCCAUUGAAUACGAAUGAAGAAGAACAAAACGACUGGCAGCAUCUAUAAAAGCCACUGGCAGCCAACGUCUCACUCAUUUGCGCAGUACAUCCAGGUGAGUAACUUGUCUCUUUUCACAUCUUUGUCAUGUGGGCAUGUCUGUACUUGUCCCGAGGAGCUGCACCGGCAUCAAAGCUUAUUUUACAGUUUAUUUUUGCCGUGCCACUCUGUGUUUUUGCAGCGGAU